CUUGUUGUCGUCAUUUUACAGAUACCGCUCCUAAGGCCCAGAGAUGUCGAGCAGUUUGCCCAAGGUCAGUGAGCAUUCUGGGCCUCUGGGGUCCUUGGCCAGGGCUGCUGCGGCUGGACAGGAUUAUGUGUCUGAGCUCUGGCUAUGCGCCACCCAGAGGGUUUGACCAGAGCUGCUGCCAAACACAGCCCCUGGGCUGUGUCCACCUCUGCUGUCUACAACUGUGGGGCCACUAGCCAUGGAUCUUGGCACUCUCCCCACCCCAUCUUAUCCCCAAAGCCACUUCAAACCCUGCUCCUCUCCUGCAUACAUCUCAAGUGAGUCCCUAUCUGUCUGGUGAAAGGCCGGCUGUUUGGUGUUUGCCUCAACCUGAACUUUAAGAUCCAUUCACUCAUUCAACAAGUAUUUAUUGCACUCUUAUUAGGUGCCAGGCACUGUCCUUAGACUUGGGGACCUGGCUGUAAAUACAAAUGUCUCCAUUCUGCACCUUAUAUUUCAACUGGGGAGACGAGGUAUUAGGCACUUAAAUAUAUCACAUAAAGGAGAGUACUAAUUAAGUGUGACAAAGGGAAGUCAGGCAGGGGGAUGGUAGGGCUACUUCUGAUAAGGUAAUUCAUCAGGCAAAAUUUUAUAAGCAGGUAAUAUUCGUGCAGAGACCUGAGUGAGGAGAGGGAGUAGGUCGUGGAUAUGUGAGGGGGAAGGAAUUGCAAACGCAAAGGAUGCAAAGGCCUGAAGCCAGCUGUGUCGGUCUUCUCACCAGGGUCAGGAC
RNAcentral lists this long non-coding RNA (769 nucleotides) under Neogale vison (American mink). RNAcentral describes it as "Neovison vison (American mink) lncRNA (ENSNVIG00000011883.1)". The record is from RNAcentral. Lineage: Eukaryota; Metazoa; Chordata; Mammalia; Carnivora; Mustelidae.